Taeniopygia guttata (zebra finch) is the source of this 8332-nucleotide long non-coding RNA. The record is from Ensembl. NCBI's taxonomy places the organism in Eukaryota, Metazoa, Chordata, Aves, Passeriformes, Estrildidae.
ACUUGCUUCUCAUUCUUUUAUUGACACUUUGGCAAUGUUCUUUCACCUCUGAGGAGCCUCUUACCAGGUACACAUGGGAUCAGUCAGACCACUGGGACUGCAGAGUUACAGUUUUCAUGAGAUUUAGGCACAAGGCAAUUUUAAAGGUGGCUUGAAAGGUAAUUUGGGAGAGAAGGAAAUGUGGAAGCUGGCCAGGUGGACAAUGCUGCAAUAUGAAUUUCUGCUGCUGAAGAAGGUGCACAAGCACAGCUAGGGACUGCAUCAUCCAUGUGCAGCAGGUGACAUUUCCUCACACACCUCUUCAGGCCUCCUAGCUAAAGCAGGGGGUGUUUAUAAGGGAAGUUUUUCUGGCAUGACCACACAUACAUUAGAAAUUGGACUAAGCCCAUGAAGUUCACAGUGGAUCAGAGCUGCAUUUUGGAGCAGUGAUGUCGAGGUUUACUGACUCCAUUGCUGGUUCCCAAUCUCUUGAGCCAUCUGGCUCCUUAUCAGUAUUUUAUUUUUCUCAGCUGAUUCAAAUGCAGAGGCCCUGCUCUGGUGUGAUGGCAUUUUGAACUAAAUCGACAGCCAAUUUGGAUUACGAAACCAUGAAACAAAGAAACAAAAGUCCCUCCCAGCAAAAGGUGUCUGAUGACAUUUACGGAGUAGGAGUAGGUGGCUCAGAGUCUUCAGGGGAAAUUCCAGAUGGAUAGGAAAGUAGCAGUGAUACAGCCAACCUUUACAAAGGGUGGGAUGGGGGCAUGUGGUGAAGCACCGGAGGAGCUGUGGUUAUGAGAUCAGAUGGGUGGCCUGGGGAAAGUCAGAGGAGAUGUGUGGAAAACCAGUGGGCAGCUCAAAGUGUGAUACAGAGAUAAGCAUGAGAUGGGAAGGGUGUGGUAAGACAACUCCAAAGGACUAAAUGCUUGCUUAACGCCAGGACAAGAAGCAGGUCAAGCCUAAUGAUGUCGAGAGAAUACUCCAUGCCCUGGGUUAGUCAUGCUCCUGAGUGCUGGGCUGAAUCUGGGCUGUGUUUGACCCUCCUGCUCCAUCCCGCAGGAAGCCAGGAUUGAGCAAGACCACACAUCACACCACACACCUCCGGAGGGAAGUGAUUAAGCCAUGAAUAAGAGAUCCACCAGCUGUUGUGCUUUGUGUGUGUGCACACACCAUGGAACUACUGCAAAAAGCUAAACCUAGGGCCAAGGGAGCCUGGGACCAAAGGUGAGACCUCCAUGAAGGACCAUGACAACAACUGCACGACUAAAAGCAUGAGCAAUGGAAACAGACACCACGCUGGCAUGGAUGUUUGAAUUUGGCAUCUUAAUUUUAAACAAAGGAGGAUAGAAGUGUAUUUUUCAAAUCCUUCUCAUUAAGUAAUGCCCCAAACUCCCAUUUCAGUGGAAGUUAAACAUACACACAUCUUUGGUGCCCUUGAAAAUUUCAACCUAGCUUUCGUGUCAGCUCUACAAAGACAGGUGGGGGUUUUUGUAGAAGUCUAUGAUAGCUGGCUUCAGAUUCAGCCCUGCCAUGUUUCUGAGCAGCUUUUAUGCCUGGCCACAAUGCAUUUUAAAAUAAUUGGCAAUUACAACAGAAGACUAAUCCCCAAGACUCCUACCACUGGCUUCUGUAAAAACAGCCUUUUACACUACAGGCACGUAUCUUCCCCGGUGACUUUGGACUUGGACUUGCUGUCUGCUCUGAGAGUAGAGGCUGAGCAGGCCUGAGCUGGCCAUUUUCACUUGCACAGCAACCACUCCAAGCACCCAGAGUUGAAAUGGUGGCAUUGCCACCCAGCAGCCCCCAUGGCACUGCCCCCAGACUGCAGACAUGCACUGGCUGGAGGAGUAUUCGACCACUCUGGGGAUGUUGGAGUGUGUUGGAGUAGUUGGGGGUGGCUGGCUACAGCUUUCAUUCUCUCUGGCAUCUCCAGAAACUGAAACGAGACAGGAAAGACACAGAAAAAGAGGGAGAAAAUAAAGACACUGAGGGAAUCUGGAAACCAUACACUGGGGAAAGGAUGGGCAAGAAGAAGGGAAAAAAGCAGUGAUAGGAAGAAAGAAAGAAAAAGUCACAGUGAAAGAAGCACAGCAGUAACCCCUGUGAUGGAAACAGAAGCAGUUUGAGGUUUGUAUGCAUUGUGGCUGGGCUCUUGCCCGUGGUGUUUAACUUCACAAACUAACCCAGCCAUUAUGCACCGAGGGAUCGUUAAUGCAGCAGAUGCAGCCAGACAUACGUAGGAGUGUGUUAAUAUAAGGCCUGAUGUAAAAAACACCUGCUAGUUUGGCAGGGUGUCUCAGGAAAGAUACUUGUGGCUCGUGUGAGGGUGCAGUAUUUACUAAAGUAUCUGCUGCUUUCCCCUCACAUCACGUGCAAUUCCCAUUUGCCUUACUGGGAGCUUUGCAUAGUGGCAAUGUAAGAGACUCCAGGCUGAACCUGGAUGGAGCUGGUCCCAUUUACGCUAGAAGGGAAGCUGAUGUCUUAAAUGUUCUUUUUUUUUCCAUCCAAAAUAUUUAGAACAUGGAGAGGAAUUCUCUCUCUGCAAUACCUAGGCUCUAGGACUGCCUUGUUUACAAAGGCUUAAGUUUUUAUAACCCUGAAGGAAUUGCACUGAUGCCAUGCAAGGGGAAGAGGCACUUUUGGAAGAUGAUAACAAUGUGGCUGUGUUAUCCCAAGCCCUGAUGCUGCUGAAGUGGAUGUGUGCCAUUACUGAAGUGUUGGAAGGGCUGGCACACUGUCCCGGGAUGAGAUUCUCUUACAAACCAGAGAUGGGGCUGGUACCAGGCAAUCAGGCAGCAGUACAGGGCCUGGCUGCUUCCAGGAGCAUCCCAGGGAUGGAGGGCUCUGGCUCACAUGCAGAGAGCAGACAGCUGCAGUGGUUUCAGAUGUUCCCCCACAGCUGUCUGUCCCAGCUCUCGGUGGGAGGCUGCCUGUGAGCAGGGCUGAGGGAAUGGGAGGGAUGCCUGUGCCUCAGCUGUCCCAGCUCAGGGCCCAGGGGAUGCAUGGAGAACACAGAUGGAGAGGCUGCUGCGUGGGCACCUCCAACACAAACUGGGGAGGCACCUCUGGCACACAUGCAAAGUGUGAUGAAGGCAAUACCAUAAUUGUCCCAUGAAAACUAAUUAUAACUCAUUUGCUAGGACCCUCAGCAAACAAAUUUUUUUCUCUGCUUCCUCAUUGUUCCAUGAGAUUUCUUUCCCAGGGUUUGCUUACUUUUGCCUCUCUGCCUGCCCAGCUGUCCUUACUGGAGCUCUGUCAUCUCCCACUUCCCAUUUCUCCACAAGGUGCACACACAGGGAAGUCUCUGGCACAGGUAGCCACGCUAUGGGAGCUGGUGCUGGACAGCCAGAACCACAGCCAGCCCCAGCAGUGAGCCCAGACACAAAGAAAGGAUGCAGGGAAAACUGCUCUUUUAUGUCCUGUCUCUUGCCUUUCUUCUUGGCAUUUUAAACCUUUUCUGCUCACCUUUCCAGAUUUCCUUCCAGCCCCAAAAAACUACAGCAACACAACCCACUGCUUUGUGUUUCAUUCUCAGUCUCGCAGUCGCCACUUUAUUUUGCCUUUUCCCAGUUUCAUGAAAGAACGCAGUCGCAUGAAUAACAGGAUUAUUUAUCAUCCUCUCCCUCCCCUUCCAGGAUGGCUUGCUGUUUAUGGAAAGCACUGGAGUGCAGGAGAGAUCGUGCUACAGUUAAACAGACAAUACUUAAAGGGCCAUUGCCUGCUCUCUGCUUUACUCCUCAUUGACUUCCAAGAAAGAGGGACUUCUGUAUCCCAAUUGAUGGGAAUGACAUCACAAACCACUGCUGAAAGGUAAAAAAAAAAUGCUCUGUUCAAUAGGAUGGAGAAGAUGGUUGGACUUGGUGAUCUGAGAGGUUUUUUCCAAGCUAAAUGAUUCUACAAAUCUAUGGUUCUUCCCUUCACUUCUUGCAAGAGCCAGGAAAUUAAUUUCUGGUGUAAAUGUGUGUGUGUGGUCCCUUUCUAGCCCAGCAGUGUAUCAGGAGCAUGCUCCCAGGGACCAUAUAAUGGUGGCUAGCAGGUGACUGACCACAUUCAGACUCCUCCAUGUGACACAGCCAAAUGAUGUGACCAAAGGUGCUUCUCAGAGGUCUGCUGGACCUGGAAUUUAGCAGGGCAAUGAUGAAACUUGUCCCGAGGUGGUGAGAAAUGGCUUUGAAAAUGGUUGCUACCAGCUUCUCACCUGGAGUUUGGCCAUGGCUCCAUGGUAGGUUCUCUACAUCCUCCCUGCAUUUCUGAUUACUUGUAGCUAUGGAAGAUCUUGAUGAGCUCUCAGGAAGAAAUCACCAAUGUGUUGAGAAUAAACAUCUGGAAAGCACUGAAUUCCCUGGGAAUUUCUGCUGAGGAGCAGAUGCCACCACAUGGGUUGCCUGCUCUGGUCUGACCACCACCAUCAGUGGGUCUGUGGAUACCAGUGUGUCUCUAAAGGAUGGAAGUGCUCAGGGAGGGUGAGUUUGGAGACUCAGUGUGGGCUCCAUGAAGCUUUUCUGUAACAAUCCUGCUCUGGGCUGGGGACUUCAGGCAUGAUGUGCAGCCACUGAGAGCAUGUGAGGACUAGGCUGCUGUUGGUGUAAGAAAAUGAAAAGAAAAAUGCAAAAACUCUACACUGGAGUUUCUGGUAAAAAAAAAUAAAAAGAAAACCAAUCACCAAUCCUUUACUUGCUCUUCUCCUUCCCUUAUAUUAACUAGGUUUCUGUGACAAAAAGGGUCAGAAAUUCAAUUAGGAAGCUUCACAGGCAUUACAAACAUUUCCAGUUCAAAGUCAGCAAUUGCAGUACAGGAGCCUCCAUAUCUCCUGUGUCCUUUAGGUACUGCUGGACCCUGCAGUCUCUGGUGUGCUCGGAGCUGAAAAUGUGUGUAUCAUUCUCGUGAGUUUUUAUUGUAAGGGAGGGAAUCUCACAGGACAAAUGUGUAAUGUAAGAGCAACAAGGUUGCAUGGAUACAAGAACACAAAUGGGGCGGCUCACACUUUGAGAAUACAAAUUCUUCAGGAAGAACAACUAUCUCACUGUGUUUGGAUGGAGCUUAAUAAAACUGACUGCUCCAAGCUAGGCCUCUACAGGCCUCCAAGCUACAAACAAUGGAGAAUAAUAUCACAAUUUUAUGGUGCUUAGCAUGGCUGAGCUACAUCCUGGAUGGUCUCCACAGAAUCACUGCAACUGGUGUUGAUUUGAGUCAGAGGAGAAGAGCUUUACACCCCCAUUGCUGAGGAGACAUGAGCACACCACGCACAGGACCCCAGGGGCUGAGCCCUGUGCGCAGUGCUCUCAUUUACAGCAUGUAUCAGCAUACCUUCAGCUGGGCUGGUACUUUUACAGUCAUUCAGCUGGAUGAACUACAUAUUCCUGACAAAACACAGCCCAUUUUUAUUAGCUUUAUCCACCAGGCUGAGGAUAUCCCGCACUCACAGCAGCUCCCUUGUCCCACAGGGGUGGGGAGCAGGGAUCAGCUUCAUAUACCCACUAAAAUAGCGGCCAGUGCUGGUAUGCAAGUGCCCUAGUUCAAUGCCUAAACAUGGUAUCUUGCUACCCAGGCUGGCAGGGCUGCCAGUUCGUGCUCCAGCCCUGAAGGUGAACUGUGUGUCACUCAGCAGUGGCUGCAGCAGCAGGGAAGGUCAAACAGUCCCUCACUUUCAGCCGUGCUGCUGAAGCUCCUGGGCAGGAACAGCUGGGCACAGGGGAGAGAGGAGCACAUUAACAAGAGCUUUACUACCUGCGUCUCUUGGCUAUUAAAUGAAUUAACAUCCCCAGAGACGUUUGGGUCUAACCCCCACUGAAGUCAAAAGGGCAAUUUUGGGUGGAGGACCAGCUCUACAGGGACCCUGCUCCAUUCAUUGGAGAGAAAAACAUCUCCAGAAAUAUUGUAGCUUUAAGUGUCAACCCAUAUAAGUGGAUGCUAGCCAUGGCCAUCCUCUGUGUUUGGGGCAGAAACGUCAUGAAACCUUUCCACGCCACUUCUGCUCACUCCUCUUAGCUGAAACCUCGUAGCAGAUUUGCAUCUCAUGACUAUUUAAGAACAUUAUCAACUGUGAAAGCAUCUGGAAAGCUGCACCAACAAAAGUUACAAAGACAACAAAGCUCAGCCAGAAGGACGGAGCCAGCGCAAGGAUCCAAAAAGAAGAACUGGAAAAGAAGGAAAUCAUGUUUGUAGGUGCACUAGCUGGAAUAAUAACAGCCUUGCUUGUUCUGCUUGCAGAUUUCCUUGCUGCUCUUUAUGGGCUGAUUGAGGGAACAGUGUGUCUGCCAUCAGUGCCUUCUGCAUUUGUAAUCCUUGCCUGCACUGCACCUGCACCUGUGCCAGCCUCAUGCCACAGGCAGGCAGCAACCAAGCUGCAGAGCAGGAAAAUGACCUCCCCCCACCAUGGCCACAUGCCCCUCUGAAGCUACAGGCCAAAAAAAUGUUCAAAACCAGAGAGGAACCACCCAAAGUUGGUGAUCUUCCUGUCCAGCUUUCUGGAUUUUAUGUUCUGCACUUUUAUCCUUGGUUAUACACUGUAGGGCACUGGCAGAAUGGUGCAGGGCAAAAUAACUAAGAGUAUUUCCUAUGGUUCCUUUCCAGAGCCAGGACAGAUGUGGUGGCAGGAUGUAUCCUGCAGAACACACUGAGCAGCUUUGGCCAGCCCCAAACACACCCUACAAUAAAAGCAGGACACUCUUCAAAAAAAACCCCUUACCCAAACCCAUUGUUUUGUUAAUUUUAACUGGCUUAUCUAUAAGGCAAAAAAACCCCACUAAAAUAAAACCUGAAAAAACUUUCCCAAUACUCCCUCAGCAGGAAUGUCAUUGCAAUGAAAUGGUUCCUCAGUAUCAGUCAGGAGGGUCAAACAAGUGUUGUUGCAGCCUGAGCUCUGAAAUAGAUGCUCUGGGUUUCAGGUACCAUUUUGAGCCAGCCCAGUGCCCCCUGUGGCUCCAAACACCACAGUGCCCACCUUGCUGGCCAUCCCCGACUGCACCUCUCCCUGUGACCUUCCCCCAGCACCCAGCUGUGAAACAUCAGCUGCUCCUCUUACACUGCCUGGCCUCUGUUUCUAAGAGCUGAGCCAGCAGAGAUUUGAAUGAGCUCUGUAGUGGGUGCUGGAAGCCUGAUUUGGGGCACUCUAAAUUUGGGGCUUCAGGUGACUCCACCCGCACAAAACAGCACUGGUGACACUCUAGUGGUCUCAUUGUGUGUCAAAGAGCUUCUGCAUCCCUUCCCCCAUGCCAAGUGCUGUGCAAACCCUGGGAAUCCUCCCUCUCAACACUCUGUCAUGGUGUAAUUCCAUUAUAAUUCCUGACAUUUGAGAGGCUUCUAACAGUGCGUGCUUUAAAUUAGACAAGCAAUAUCUUGCUCACUGCUCUCAGAUAAAUAAAAAAGUGUAAAACUCAAUUUUCUGACACUGUUCUUGGUACUGAUUUCCUUUUAAACCUGUAACUACCAUGCUGUCACUCCUUCCUCAUGUGUGGCUUGUGGGUAUUGCAUAAAAGGUGAUAUUCCAUGUCUGGGGCACACAUGUGCAAUAGAUGUGCAGACCACAGGAAGGUGCCAUGCUGAAGCAAACAUACUCUGGUGUUUUGUUUUUCACACAGCUGUAUGUAGGGACUUAGAGGCAACAAAUACAAUUUUAGAUCAAACAAUAGACAAGGACAAAAUGUGUUUUGUAAGCAGACAAACAACCUAAAUAUAAAGUUGUUUGCAGAAUCUGUGUGAAUUUUAUUUAUGUUUCUUGGUCUUUGCUCUCCUCUGGGACCUUACAUAUUUUGCAUUAUUAUCAAAUAUUUGUAAUGAUCCCUAUAAACAGUCUAAUGUUAAAAGCUACUCCAAGUGUAACUUGAUCCAGAGGAAAGAUGCUUAUCUGAGCUCCACAAUGACAGAUUAAAAAAAGUUGCUGAUGCAGUAUGCCUCUUGUAAAACGAGGGAAAUAUAAGAAAAAUCAAAACUGCACAGCUUUUUUUUUUUUUUUUUUUUUACCAUAAGAUAAAGCAGGAGUUCUCUCUGUUGGCUUUUGCAGUGAAAUACAAGAGCAAGACCUACAAAUAUACAGCACUUCUGAUCCCAAAUGCACUAGCCAACCAAGGAAGGAAGCAGAGGAGUAAAUGCUCAGCCAGCCCGUACUGUCAGAAUUUAUUUCACUGUUUAGUAAUUAUUUUUUUUAUUACUAUGACAACACGGGCCAUAAGAAUUGCUUCUUUAACCCCAGCAAAUAAGACUGUGCAGAUGAGACUUUUUUUUGAACUGAAGUAAUUGCUUUUUACUUCUGCUGUGUAAGAAAGUGAUGGCACUACCAGAGCGUCCUGCCCUGCUCUGCCUCCUCCUGCCCUGCAUGGAUAGCUCUGCUGCAGUGUGGCACUCGGGUCAUUAUUUU